CCGGUGGUACCAUGUGCUGACCCGGGUGGGUGCUUGCAGGUGAGCCUGGCCAUUGCGUCCAAAACCACUCACCCCUGUGCUCACAAUGCAGGUGCUGGCAUGACUGUCCAGGACUUCUGCAGCUCACCAGGUGACCUCCCAGCUCCUGAGCUGUUCCUGAAUGUGAUCAGCGCYCAGGAGGGAGAACUGGUUUUGGCUCGCUGCUCCCUGGGUGGGGAGUUUCCCGCUACCCGAAUCAUCUUCUGCAAGGAUGGGAUGGAGGUGUACAGCCUGAAAGCCGUACGGGGACAACUGAGUUACUCCGUUCCCCUGAAGGCCUCCCACGAGAGCACGGGGAGGUACACGUGUGGGUACCAGCACAAGGAUGGGAGCAACCGGGUGAGAAGCUCUUCCCUCAGUGCUCCCCGGGACC
This is a long non-coding RNA of Dromaius novaehollandiae (emu), 412 nucleotides long. Lineage: Eukaryota; Metazoa; Chordata; Aves; Casuariiformes; Dromaiidae. The record is from Ensembl.